GGCGAAAGGGUGAGUAACACGUGGGCAAUCUACCUCAAAGUUGGGAAUAACCCGGGGAAACCUGGGAUAAUUCCGAAUGUGUCGCCUCCGGCAUCGGAGGCUGUCUAAAGUCGGGGACCGCAAGGCCUGACGCUAUGAGAUGAGCCCGCGUCCUAUCAGCUUGUUGGUGAGGUAACGGCUCACCAAGGCUUACGGGUAGCUGGUCUGGGAGGACGAUCAGCCACACUGGGACUGAGACACUGUCCAGACUCCUACGGGAGGCUGCAGUCGAGAAUCAUUCGCAAUGGGCGCAAGCCUGACGAUGCGACGCCGCGUGCAGGAUGAAGGCCUUCGGGUUGUAAACUGCUGUGAUGGGGGAUCAACGAGCGGGAUGUUAAUAACAUCUCGCAGUGAUAGUACCCCAAGAGGAAGCCACGGCUAACUCUGUGCCAGCAGCCGCGGUAAUACAGAGGUGGCAAGCGUUGUUCGGAUUUACUGGGCGUAAAGGGUGCGUAGGCGGUCUGAUGUGUCGGAUGUGAAAUCCCAUGGAUUAUCUGUGGAACUGCAUUCGAAACUGUUAGGCUUGAGUGUCGGAGAGGUGGGCGGAAUUCACGGUGUAGCAGUGAAAUGCGUUGAUAUUGUGAAGAACGCCGGAGGCGAAGGCGGCCCACUGGACGACAACUGACGCUGAGGCACGAAAGAUGGGGGAGCAAACAGGAUUAGAUACCCUGGUAGUCCCAUCCGUAAACGGUGUGCACUUGGUGUAGGAGGAAUUAUCCCCUUCUGUGCCGGAGCUAACGCGUUAAGUGCACCGCCUGGGGAGUACGGUCGCAAGACUAAAACUCAAAGAAAUUGACGGGGGCCCGCACAAGCGGUGGAGCAUGUGGCUUAAUUCGAUGCUACGCGAAGAACCUUACCUGGGCUUGACAUGCGGCUGGAUGCUGGGCGAAAGCCCGGAGGCCUUCGAGGCUGCCGCACAGGUGCUGCAUGGCUGUCGUCAGCUCGUGCCGUGAGGUGUUGGGUUAAGUCCCGCAACGAGCGCAACCCCUGUGGCUAGUUGCCCGCUGAAAGGCGGUACUCUAGCCAGACUGCCUGUGAUAAGCAGGAGGAAGGUGGGGAUGACGUCAAGUCAGUAUGGUCCUUAUGUCCAGGGCUGCACACGUGCUACAAUGAUCGGUACAGAAGGAUGCAAGACCGCGAGGUGGAGCUAAUCCCCAAAACCGAUCCCAGUUCAGAUUGCAGUCUGCAACUCGACUGCAUGAAGCCGGAAUCGCUAGUAAUGGCACAUCAGCUACGGUGCCGUGAAUACGUUCCCAGGCCUUGUACACACCGCCCGUCACAUCACGAAAGCCGAUUGCACCCGAAGUAGUUGACGCGACCCGCAAGGGACCUAGAUUCCUAAGGUGUGGUUGGUGAUUGGGAUGAAGUCGUAACAAGGUA
This 1419-nucleotide ribosomal RNA is filed under the name metagenome. RNAcentral describes it as "bacterial SSU rRNA". It matches the Rfam family "Bacterial small subunit ribosomal RNA". The record is from RNAcentral.